This 500-nucleotide ribosomal RNA is filed under the name uncultured bacterium. RNAcentral describes it as "partial 16S ribosomal RNA". It matches the Rfam family "Bacterial small subunit ribosomal RNA", at positions 30 to 523 of the family's 1533-position model. The record is from RNAcentral.
AUUGAACGCUGGCGGAAUGCUUUACACAUGCAAGUCGAACGGCAGCACGGACUUCGGUCUGGUGGCGAGUGGCGAACGGGUGAGUAAUGUAUCGGAACGUGCCCAGUCGUGGGGGAUAACGUAGUGAAAAUUACGCUAAUACCGCAUACGAUCUAUGGAUGAAAGCGGGGGAUCGCAAGACCUCGCGCGAUUGGAGCGGCCGAUAUCAGAUUAGGUAGUUGGUGGGGUAAAGGCCCACCAAGCCAACGAUCUGUAGCUGGUCUGAGAGGACGACACGCCACACUGGAACUGAGACACGGUCCAGACUCCAACUGGAGGCAGCAGUGGGGAAUUUUGGACAAUGGGCGAAAGCCUGAUCCAGCCAUUCCGCGUGCAGGAUGAAGGCCCUCGGGUUGUAAACUGCUUUUGUACAGAACGAAAAGGUUUCUACUAAUACUAGGAGCUCAUGACGGUACUGUAAGAAUAAGCACCGGCUAACUACGUGCCAGCCGCCGCAGUAA